GAUGAACGCUAGCGGCAGGCUUAACACAUGCAAGUCGAGGGGCAGCGGGGAGGAAGCUUGCUUUCUCCGCCGGCGACCGGCGCACGGGUGAGUAACACGUAUGAAACCUGCCCGUAGCAGGGGGAUAAGCGGAAGAAAUUCCGUCUAAUACCGCGUAACAACCCUUGGAGGCAUCUCCCCGGGGUUUAAAGGAAGCGAUUCCGGCUACGGAUGGUCAUGCGUCGCAUUAGCUAGUUGGCGGGGUAACGGCCCACCAAGGCGACGAUGCGUAGGGGUUCUGAGAGGAAGGUCCCCCACACUGGUACUGAGACACGGACCAG
Molecule: ribosomal RNA, 320 nt
Filed under: uncultured bacterium
Lineage: Bacteria
Description: bacterial SSU rRNA
Rfam family: Bacterial small subunit ribosomal RNA
Source: RNAcentral